Long non-coding RNA from Carassius carassius (crucian carp), 1056 nucleotides. RefSeq lists it as uncharacterized. NCBI's taxonomy places the organism in Eukaryota, Metazoa, Chordata, Actinopteri, Cypriniformes, Cyprinidae. The transcript has 3 exons. The record is from RefSeq and is a predicted model, not a curated record.
CUGAAAAAUCCCUGUAUGGGAAUGAUACUUUCAAUUUUGUCAUUCAUAUCUCACUAAACGUGCCGUGGCUUACGAAAUUUAAACAGCCAGAUUGAAAAACUCUUGUAGAACUUUUACAAUGUUCAGACGCUUCAAUCUUCUUCUGCUGCUGUUUUGUCUGGUUUAUCACAGCGGAAACACAUAUAAACCUGUGUCAGGAGAAAAGAGAGGAAACAUCAGACUCAGAUGUGAACAUGAGGACAGUAAUAUUGUUCACAUUGAGUUAUUCCAUUGGUCAAGAGACAUAUCUGUGUGUGAGACUGAAGAAUGUAGAGGACGAGUGUUUAAAGAAGGAAACUGUGACGUCGUCAUCAAGAAUCUGAUCUUCAGUGACGCUGGGAAAUACACUUUGAGAAUCUAUUACAAUAAUGAUCAGACAGAGCUGAAGCCAAAUAAUGAUCAGAUAGUGCCGAUGGAAAUAAAGCAGUGGACGUACCAUCUUCAUAUUCAUGGUGAAGACUAAACUGAUCAAACAUCAGCAUCUGCUUCUUUAAAUGAUUACAUUUGGUCACCAAUCAUAAAUCUGUGUUUAUGGUCUUGAUUGAUUGACAGCAUUAUAAUAAUGAUUAAUGUCUUUCUGUUUCUCCUCAGAUGAGAUUUCUGUGAAAACAGGCGAGGAGCUAAAGAUGUCUGUUCUGGUGUUUAAUGCUGAUAAAGUGAAGACAAACUCUAGUGGAGAGUGGAAGGAGGUUUGGACGAGAGGUCACGGGGUUCAGAGCGACCGAAUGAGUGAUGAUACUGAUAUAAACCUGAUCAUUAAAUCAUUUCUGGACAGUGAUGCAGGAACAUACAGAGUUCUGGACACUGAAGGAGAAAUCCUGAUCACAGUCACAAUCACAGGUGAGAGAAACUCAGAUAUGAGGAAAUAUUAUUUAUAAAGCAUUUGGACAGCUGAGGUUUAUUCAUCAUGAUCUGAACAUUAACAGAAAUAUUGAUAUUAAACUGUGUGACUUGCUUUUCAGCAUCUGGUACAGAAUCACCGGAAAAACACAAAAACACAGAUAUAGACCAAACGAA